This 508-nucleotide ribosomal RNA is filed under the name uncultured bacterium. RNAcentral describes it as "partial 16S ribosomal RNA". It matches the Rfam family "Bacterial small subunit ribosomal RNA", at positions 30 to 523 of the family's 1533-position model. The record is from RNAcentral.
AUUGAACGCUGGCGGCAUGCCUAACACAUGCAAGUCGAACGGCAGCACGACCUAGCUUGCUAGGUUGGUGGCGAGUGGCGCACGGGUGAGUAAUGCGUAGGAAUAUACCUUAAAGUGGGGGACAACCUGGGGAAACUCAGGCUAAUACCGCAUGAGCUCUAAGGAGGAAAGCUGGGGACCUUUCGGGGCCUGGCGCUUUAAGAAUAGCUUACGUCCGAUUAGUUAGUUGGUGGGGUAAAGGCUUACCAAGACGAUGAUCGGUAGCUGGUCUGAGAGGAUGAUCAGCCACACUGGGACUGAGACACGGCCCAGACUCCUACGGGAGGCAGCAGUGGGGAAUAUUGGACAAUGGGGGAAACCCUGAUCCAGCGAUGCCGCGUGUGUGAAGAAGGCCUGCGGGUUGUAAAGCACUUUCGGUGGGGAGGAGGACUUAUAGGUUAAGAGCUAAUGAGUUGGACGUUACCCACAUAAGAAGCACCGGCUAACUCCGUGCCAGCAGCCGCGGUAA